UGCUGGAUAGCUCACUCGGUAAAGCGUCGUGAAGCAGAAGUGACUAUCACGUCGCGGGUUCGAUUCCCGCCUCGUAC
This is a non-coding RNA of Gymnothorax javanicus (giant moray), 77 nucleotides long. Lineage: Eukaryota; Metazoa; Chordata; Actinopteri; Anguilliformes; Muraenidae. The record is from the annotation of a GenBank genome assembly.